This 294-nucleotide ribosomal RNA is filed under the name uncultured bacterium. RNAcentral's name for it is "partial 16S ribosomal RNA". It matches the Rfam family "Bacterial small subunit ribosomal RNA", at positions 1090 to 1382 of the family's 1533-position model. The record is from RNAcentral.
GCACGAGCGCAACCCUUGUCCUUAGUUGCCAGCAGGUGAAGCUGGGCACUCUAAGGAGACCGCCGGUGAUAAAUCGGAGGAAGGUGGGGAUGACGUCAAGUCCUCAUGGCCUUUAUUGACCAGGGCUACACACGUGCUACAAUGGCCGAUAUAAAGGGUUACAAUACCGCGAGGUGGAGUCAAUCCCAAAAAGUCGGUCCCAGUUCGGAUUGCAGUCUGAAACUCGACUGCAUGAAUUCGGAAUCGCUAGUAAUCGCGGAUCACCAUGCCGCGGUGAAUAUGUUCCCAGGCCUU